RNAcentral lists this ribosomal RNA (253 nucleotides) under uncultured bacterium. RNAcentral's name for it is "partial 16S ribosomal RNA". It matches the Rfam family "Bacterial small subunit ribosomal RNA", at positions 524 to 776 of the family's 1533-position model. The record is from RNAcentral.
UACGUAGGCAGCGAGCGUUGUUCGGAAUUACUGGGCGUAAAGAGUGUGUAGGCGGUGCUCUAAGUUCGGUGUGAAAUCUCCCGGCUUAACUGGGAGGGUGCGCCGGAAACUGGAGUGCUCGAACGUGGGAGAGGAAAGCGGAAUUCCUGGUGUAGCGGUGAAAUGCGUAGAUAUCGGGAGGAACACCAGUGGCGAAGGCGGCCUUCUGGACCAGCACUGACACUCAAGCACGAAAGCGUGGGGAGCAAACAGG